AAGGCAGGUUCCCCUCCCGCUUCAUCCCGGGGAUUUUAACCCCUUCCUCUCCCUGCUGGCCUGGGGCGUGCACAUCCCACUGCAAUCCCCCCUCUUUGGGGAGCUCAGAGCCCACCCAGGGCCCAGUCCGAGGCCCUCUCCAGGAUGUGACAAUUCUAUAAUGGUCCGUGGGCCGUGACCUGCGGAAACCAGAGGCAGGAGCUUUUUUGGUCAAGGAAGCCCACACGUAGUAAUUAAAGUGAGACAGGCAGUGAGCUGGCUGCCGGCUCCCAGCACACGGCAGUAGCAGCGGCAGGUCGCGGCACCGGCACCAUGGACCCCUCAGUGACCAAAGCCACCCUGAAGGUGCUGGGGCUGUGCGUGGUCCUGCUCUUCCUGGUCGCCGCGGUGACGGUCUCCGUGGCGGUGAUGAUGUGGCACUCGGAGGCAGUACGGAGGCUGCAGGGCUGCCGGGAGCAGGCAGCCAAUGAGACCUCAGCCCUGGGGGGCCGCGUGGCCGAGCUGGAGCGGGACGUGGCCGAGCUCACGGGGCGGCUGCAGGAGGACGCCCAGAAGAAGCAGCAGCUUCAGAAGCAGCUUGGCCAGGCCAAGGAUGAGGGCAGGAAGCUCAAAGCCACCUUGCUGUCCUGCCAGGAGCGUGAGAGCACGCUCUCCGCCAACGUGACAGCCCUGCGGAACGCGCUCACGGCCAUUCAGCUGGAGGGCACCGAGAUGGACACCAGAAACAUUGCCUUGCAAGCGGAGCUGACCCAGUGGCAGGGGAAAGCCGCGGAGCAGGAGCUGCGGCUGGAGGAGGCGCUGCAGCUGCACCGAGCGUCGGAGGCGCGGAGGGAGCAGUGCGAGGCCCGGCAGAGCGAGCUGCAGCGCAGCAUGCGGGACUACAGGGCCGAAAUCGACUCCCUCCAGCGGCGGCUGAGCUCCCGAGCUACCAGGCGCAGGUGCCCCCCAUUCUGGUAUUUUGUGUGGGUGCUGGCAAGCACUUCUUGCUUUAUUUUCUCGCUCGAAGGGUUGAAAUCUUACGUCUGAAGCAUCUAGGGGAAGCCAGGCUUAAAGGAGAUGACAGGGCUCGUGAGCAACCAUUUCUGAUCCCCC
This 1092-nucleotide long non-coding RNA is filed under the name Chrysemys picta bellii (western painted turtle). RNAcentral's name for it is "lncRNA (ENSCPBG00000012438.1)". Lineage: Eukaryota; Metazoa; Chordata; Testudines; Emydidae. The record is from RNAcentral.